AGUUAAUCGGGCCGAUUAACCAGGUGCGUUAAUUGGGGGUUAUAAAUGGAAAGAAAUGGGACAAAAAAGGAGAAAGCAGGAAAAGCAUUUAUAAAAAAAAGGAGAAUAGAAAAGGGUGGUUUGACAUCCGUUUGUAGACGGUAACUGAUGGAAAUGAUGGCCGUUUUGUCACUGUUCAUUAGUCGUUUGUCAGACAUUAUUGCACCGUCCAAUUUGAAUGUAUUUCAAAAGUGUAGUGUUUCCUUUUCAAAAUUCAAUUGGAUAAUUGACUUAAAAUAUUCUUUGUCAUUGUUCAAUUAUAUUUUCACAAUUUCACUGUAGUAAAAACCUAACCUUGAAUCCAAUCUGUAGUUGCCGCCGCUUUUGUUAUUCUCUCCGCGUAGGAGCUGAUUUUGAAGAUCAGUGCAUGCUAUAAAUGGCAGAUCUGGACUGUGAAGAGACAUUUUAUCUCGAUCUACUAAAUAAAAGACCAGUACGUGCAGUGGGGUGUGUUCCCAAGGCUAACGACAUGGGAUAUGUAGGAGAUUAGAAAAGCCGGGGAAUCGGAGCUACGGGAACAACAGGAGAUUGAUAUAUUGUGUUAAUGAUAUAGUUCUACUGUAUGGUACAAUCUGAACAAGAAAUGUUUGUUAUUUGUGGUACAAUGUAUCUGGUACAAUCUGUACAAUAUAUGGUACAAUCUGAACAAUAUAUGUUACAAUCUGAA
This is a long non-coding RNA of Spinacia oleracea (spinach), 706 nucleotides long. RefSeq lists it as uncharacterized. The record is from RefSeq and is a predicted model, not a curated record. Lineage: Eukaryota; Viridiplantae; Streptophyta; Magnoliopsida; Caryophyllales; Amaranthaceae. The transcript is spliced from 2 exons.